ACUGAAUAGAUACCCUGGUAGUCCUGGCCCUAAACGAUGGAUACUUGGUGUCUGGAGUUAUUAUCGCUCCGGGUGCCGUCGCUAACGUUUUUAGUAUCCCGCCUGGGGAGUACGCACGCAAGUGUGAAACUCAAAGGAAUUGACGGGGGACCCGCACAAGCGGUGGAGCAUGUGGUUUAAUUCGACGCAACGCGAAGAACCUUACCUAGGCUAGAAUGUGAGGGAAUUUCGGGUAAUGCCGAAAGUCCGGGAAACCGGACCCAAAACAAGGUGCUGCAUGGCUGUCGUCAGCUCGUGUCGUGAGAUGUUGGGUUAAGUCCCGCAACGAGCGCAACCCUUAACUUCAGUUGCCAUCAUUAAAGUUGGGAACUNCUGGAGUGACUGCCGUUG
RNAcentral lists this ribosomal RNA (390 nucleotides) under uncultured bacterium. Its description in RNAcentral is "bacterial SSU rRNA". It matches the Rfam family "Bacterial small subunit ribosomal RNA", at positions 772 to 1157 of the family's 1533-position model. The record is from RNAcentral.